This is a long non-coding RNA of Panicum hallii, 875 nucleotides long. RefSeq lists it as uncharacterized. The transcript has 6 exons. The record is from RefSeq and is a predicted model, not a curated record. Lineage: Eukaryota; Viridiplantae; Streptophyta; Magnoliopsida; Poales; Poaceae.
ACAGGACUGGAUGACGGUGUAAAUAGGAGGCUGAGAGGUGGGCCCCACUGCUGACAGGUGGUUCCCACGUACGUAUGACAGUGUGAAAGUGACGCCGCUCUAGGCCUGCAAUAUUAAGGGCAUGUUUGAGAAGGCGAAGCUAGGUUGAAGUCAUUUUUUUUCAUCGAUGUAUAUGGUCAAAAACUAUAUGCACAUAUGCUGUGCAUCCACGCGAAUAGUUGGUGCGUGUGAGCAUGUUCAGUCAUGUCAGCAUUCAUGCAUCGGCCCUGAUUGAACCGACGGCUAUAUACGAUGUACUACGACACCCCAUUCGAGCACACACCAUUAACCAUCAAUCCUGUCGAUGGAGACGCCGCCGCUGAAGACAUCAGUCAGCGCCGUCGACGACUGCAGCGACGACUUGAGGAGCAUCACCGCCUGCGCAUCGAUCAAAAAGUUCAGAACUUGUCGUCAGAGACAUGCCUGCGCAUGCGACUUUGAACAGUGGAAUGGACGCGCAACGUAGCAGUGCAUGAUGGCGGAGAUGGUGGACAUGGGCGCGACGGUGAGGUCGUCCAUCACCAGGGAGAAGAAAGAUGCUGCUCCGGGUAAGGUGAUUGGAGACGAAGGGAAGGCGGCUUGGUAUAUUUGCGGUUGAAGCAUGCUGUGCUCUUCACCCGAUGAACCGGCAACGUUGCCGUAAGAAUCUGGAACAAGGCGUCCUUUUCUUCAUCCAUGCAGAAGCUGGAGAAUCAAGUUUCAGCACCCAAAAAAAAAGAUGUGACCGGUCACUUCUAACACAAUAAGCACUGACGAGGACCAGAUCAAAUUCAUUAGAGGCAUAUACAAUCACUAGCAGGCACCACAGUAUCAGGCAUCAGAAUACAAGAUCAGCA